AACAGAACAAACACAAUGAGAAACCAGAGGAUCUGUCAGAGAGCAUUGUGGUGAGGUUUGCAGAUUCACAUCACACACCAGCAACCGUGCACAGCUGGAUUGGAGAAAAAUGGCUUCUCAUCUUCACCUGUUUUUGGGAUUGGCUCUUUUAGGUUCACAGUACUCGUUUGGACAUGAAUGCCCCAAUGCUGAAAGGGGCACUGACUGUGCGACUUGUAUCUCAUUGGGCCCUGACUGUGCCUGGUGCAAAUACAAGUAUUUUGAUGAUAAUAAAUCUCUACGCUGUGGAACACGGAUGAGUCUGCGGGAGAAAGGCUGUUCAGAGAAGGACAUUGUAGACCCAGAGAGUGAGCACACGGUGGCUGAGGAGGGAGAGAAGCUGAACCCACAGAGGAUCAAACUGUACCUGAGGCCUGGGAAACCACACACAUUUCAGGUCCAGGCGAAGCUGCAAAGAAAACAGAAGCCAGUGGAUAUUUAUUUUCUUACGUCCCUCUCAGUGGACAACAGUGGCAUAAGAAACAGGGCAAAAGAUCUUGCAAAAAAAGCCAUUGAAGGCAUAUACGAGAGCAACGAAGAACUACGAAUAAAUACCAUAGGUUAUGGCUUGUUUGGGAACACGUUUGUCACCAACGAAAAGCAGAGAGAAUGUGAGGAGAGUGGCCAAGUCUGCAAACCGCAGCUCUACGUCACUCACUCCUCAACAGCCCCACACAACCCAUACAGUCCGUACCACCCAUGGCGAGGUGAAGGGGGGUUAGACGCUCUGAUGCAGGUGGUCCUGUGCAGGGAUGUGAUUCAUUGGGGACAGAACGACCAUAUUGUUGUAUACGCGACUGAUGAUAAUUUUAAGCUUGCACCAGAAACAGAAACAGGGAACACAGAAACAAUCAACAGCAACAUAUGUCAGAUGAACAACAGCCUCAUACGCACCACAAUGAGACCUCCAUCAAUGUCUGAGUUACGAAAAGUUCUGUUGGAAAACAACAUUCAAGUCAUUUUUGCUAUUAAAGAUCAUUUGUUUAAGGAAUAUGCGGAGCUAACUUCUAAACUGCCGAAAGCCAAAAUAUUUUGGGUGGACUUUUCGGACCCAAGCUCGGCCCCUUUUGAACAGGCCUUGAAGACAUUUAGGACCUCUUUGGUGUUGGCCCACUUGUCUGUGCCAGGACUCAACAUCACAUAUAAUCCUCUGUGUAGAGCAUUCAAUAGCGGUAACCUCCAAGGAAUAUGCUACCUCAAUGGCCAAGAAAUAAAGAAGAGUCAGACCUUCAAUGUGACUGUGUCCACUGAGUCUUGUGUGCUGCCUGCAUCCUUCGACAUCAAGAGUUUGGGUUCCCAAGACAACCUGACGGUAGAACUGACUGCUCGCUGUAACUGUGAAUGUGGUGACCAGCCUGAUCCUGAGUUCUGCAGCUAUGCCGGGAAUCCAGUUUGUGGCAAAUGCAGGUGUGAUGAAGGACACUUUGGCGCGUCCUGUGAGUGCUCGGUUUCUGAUGACGACAGUCCCUGCAGAAAGAGGCAGGGCGCACCUGUGUGUUCAGGUCGGGGGGUCUGUGUGUGCGGCCAGUGUGAUUGUCACAGAGAACUGAUGUCAGCCAACGCUCGGUUCUACGGGCGGUACUGUGAAUGUGAUGACUCCAACUGUGCCUUUUCCAAUGGAAUAAUUUGUGGAGGUAAUGGGAAGUGUAUAUGUGGAAAAUGCUUGUGUGACGAGGACUAUAAUGGGGAGGCAUGUCAGUGCUCCACUAAGGUGGAUCGCUGCCAGAGUCCCGAUGGAAACCUCUGCAGUAACCAUGGACUCUGUAAAUGCAACCAGUGCGUGUGUGAGUCAGUGUACAGAGGAGAUCUCUGCAAUGAGUGCUCCGUCUGCUAGGACAGCCACCAGGCCAGGGCCGUCUGCAGUCACUGACUCUCACGGGUAUGCACAGAUGGCGAAGGAAACCCUUCAACCCAGUUGAUGCUCAAGAAACAGUUUGCACAAGCUUAAAUCUUACAGUCGGCUGUACGAUGCCUACAGAUAGAGCUGUGAGGAUUUAAGCAAGGGACAGAGAGAUACCCUGCACAAUGAGCCCUGUGUCUGGCCGUGGUUUCAUUUGCACAAGAUCCAACCAGCAUGAGGUCAAUGAGUGAAAUGGGCCGAGGCGCCACGGUCAUCAGUCUACUGUUCAUGUAAAUUAGCACUGUACAGCUGGUUAAGGCUCCGAUGGGCAGCUACACAGUACAGUGACAGCAGCAGUGUAAUAAACCAUCACGUCCACUGGAACACCCACUUGCCAUAUCCAGGAUUCAUAUGAUAUUUUGACCAAAGCUAUUCACUCUGUUGGUCCAGAUAUGACCAAAACGUCCAAAUGUCAAUUUAAUUAGGUCUGAGGUUAAAGAAUGCAUAACAUGCAUUCAAAUGAUAUAAAACAGGACUUUACCAAAUAUAUUACAAUAAAGGCUACUUGUA
Molecule: RNA transcript, 2449 nt
Organism: Alosa alosa (allis shad)
Lineage: Eukaryota; Metazoa; Chordata; Actinopteri; Clupeiformes; Clupeidae
Gene name: integrin beta-2-like
Exons: 15
Source: RefSeq, a predicted model, not a curated record